CAAUAGCGUAUAUUAAAGUUGUUGCAGUUAAAAAGCUCGUAGUUGGAUUUCUGGUGGGAGCGAUCGGUCUGGCGCUUAGCGCGAGUACUUGCAUCGUCUCCGGCCAUCCUUGGGGAGAGUCUGUCUGGCAUUAGGUUGUCGGGCAGAGGAUCCUCAUCGUUUACUGUGAAAAAAUUAGAGUGUUCAAAGCAGGCUUAUGCCGUUGAAUAUAUUAGCAUGGAAUAAUGAGAUAGGACCUCGGUACUAUUUUGUUGGUUUGCGCACCGGGGUAAUGAUUAACAGGGACAGUUGGGGGUAUUCGUAUUCCAUUGUCAGAGGUGAAAUUCUUGGAUUUCUGGAAGACGAACUACUGCGAAAGCAUUUACCAAGGAUGUUUUCAUUAA
This 383-nucleotide ribosomal RNA is filed under the name uncultured eukaryote. Its description in RNAcentral is "partial 18S ribosomal RNA". It matches the Rfam family "Eukaryotic small subunit ribosomal RNA", at positions 592 to 976 of the family's 1831-position model. The record is from RNAcentral.